RNAcentral lists this long non-coding RNA (315 nucleotides) under Heterocephalus glaber (naked mole-rat). Its description in RNAcentral is "lncRNA (ENSHGLG00000043494.1)". The record is from RNAcentral. Lineage: Eukaryota; Metazoa; Chordata; Mammalia; Rodentia; Bathyergidae.
GUUUAUGCCUCAAUGACCCCCAAGGAGGCUCAUGAACUCUUAGGUGGGGAUUUUAAAAGAGGAUUGGACCUUAGAGGUGAUAGAGCUGUUAGGAAAUGGGGCCCGGUCCGGGGAGACAGGCCGCUGAAACAUGACCUAGAAGAGCGUAUCUCCCUCCUCAGAGCCUCCUUUCUCUCUUUGUGCUUCUGGGCCACCACCAUUGUGAACAGCUUUCCUCUUUUCAGGCUCCUGUACCAUGCUAUUUCUGUGUUUAAGACUGCUGAACAUGACCUGAAACUUCUGAAUUUUGCUACUGCAGGAUACAUGGCCAAGGAC